This 250-nucleotide ribosomal RNA is filed under the name uncultured prokaryote. Its description in RNAcentral is "partial 16S ribosomal RNA". It matches the Rfam family "Bacterial small subunit ribosomal RNA", at positions 524 to 773 of the family's 1533-position model. The record is from RNAcentral.
AACGUAGGAGACGAGCGUUAUCCGGAUUUACUGGGCGUAAAGAGCGUGUAGGAGGCGGAUCAAGUUGGAUGUAAAAUCUCCCGGCUUAACUGGGAGGCGUCGUUCAAAACUGAUCAGCUAGAGUACUGUAGAGGUAAUCGGAACUCCGGGAGUAGCGGUGAAAUGCGUAGAUAUCCGGAAGAACACCAGAGGCGAAAGCGGAUUACUGGACAGAAACUGACACUGAGACGCGAAAGCCAGGGUAGCAAAC